RNAcentral lists this ribosomal RNA (492 nucleotides) under uncultured bacterium. RNAcentral's name for it is "partial 16S ribosomal RNA". It matches the Rfam family "Bacterial small subunit ribosomal RNA", at positions 29 to 507 of the family's 1533-position model. The record is from RNAcentral.
AGUGAACGCUGGCGGUAGACCUAACACAUGCAAGUCGAACGGCAGCACAGUAAGAGCUUGCUCUUACGGGUGGCGAGUGGCGGACGGGUGAGGAAUACAUCGGAAUCUACUUUUUCGUGGGGGAUAACGUAGGGAAACUUACGCUAAUACCGCAUACGACCUACGGGUGAAAGCAGGGGAUCUUCGGACCUUGCGCGAUUGAAUGAGCCGAUGUCGGAUUAGCUAGUUGGCGGGGUAAAGGCCCACCAAGGCGACGAUCCGUAGCUGGUCUGAGAGGAUGAUCAGCCACACUGGAACGGAGACACGGUCCAGACUCCUACGGGAGGCAGCAGUGGGGAAUAUUGGACAAUGGGCGCAAGCCUGAUCCAGCCAUACCGCGUGGGUGAAGAAGGCCUUCGGGUUGUAAAGCCCUUUUGUUGGGAAAGAAAAGCAGCAGGUUAAUACCCCGCUGUUCUGACGGUACCCAAAGAAUAAGCACCGGCUAACUUCGUG